UGGCGGCGUGGUUAAGACAUGCAAGUCGAACGAGAGAAUUGCUAGCUUGCUAAUAAUUCUCUAGUGGCGCACGGGUGAGUAACACGUGAGUAACCUGCCCCCGAGAGCGGGAUAGCCCCGGGAAACUGGGAUUAAUACCGCAUAGUAUCGAAAGAUUAAAGCAGCAAUGCGCUUGGGGAUGGGCUCGCGGCCUAUUAGUUAGUUGGUGAGGUAACGGCUCACCAAGGCGAUGACGGGUAGCCGGUCUGAGAGGAUGUCCGGCCACACUGGAACUGAGACACGGUCCAGACACCUACGGGUGGCAGCAGUCGAGAAUCAUUCACAAUGGGGGAAACCCUGAUGGUGCGACGCCGCGUGGGGGAAUGAAGGUCUUCGGAUUGUAAACCCCUGUCAUGUGGGAGCAAAUUAAAAAGAUAGCACCACAAGAGGAAGAGACGGCUAACUCUGUGCCAGCAGCCGCGGUAAUACAGAGGUCUCAAGCGUUGUUCGGAAUCACUGGGCGUAAAGCGUGCGUAGGCUGUUUCGUAAGUCGUGUGUGAAAGGCGCGGGCUCAACCCGCGGACGGCACAUGAUACUGCGAGACUAGAGUAAUGGAGGGGGAACCGGAAUUCACGGUGUAGCA
RNAcentral lists this ribosomal RNA (622 nucleotides) under Akkermansia muciniphila. RNAcentral describes it as "bacterial SSU rRNA". It matches the Rfam family "Bacterial small subunit ribosomal RNA", at positions 37 to 680 of the family's 1533-position model. The record is from RNAcentral. Lineage: Bacteria; Pseudomonadati; Verrucomicrobiota; Verrucomicrobiia; Verrucomicrobiales; Akkermansiaceae.